UUACGGUCAAAUCACGCUGAAAACACCGGUUCUCGUACGAUCACCGAAUUUAAGCAUCGUAGAGCCAGGUCAGUAUUUAGAUGGGGGACCGCUUGGGAACACCUGGUACUGUAAG
RNAcentral lists this ribosomal RNA (115 nucleotides) under Acanthosepion pharaonis. The record is from RNAcentral. Lineage: Eukaryota; Metazoa; Mollusca; Cephalopoda; Sepiida; Sepiidae.